UACGAAGGGGGCUAGCGUUGUUCGGAAUUACUGGGCGUAAAGCGUGCGCAGGCGGUUUUGUAAGUUUGUCGUGAAAGCCCCGGGCUCAACCUGGGAAUUGCGAUGAAGACUGCAAGGCUUGAAUCUGGCAGAGGGGGGUAGAAUUCCACGUGUAGCAGGUGAAAAUGCGUAGAGAUGUGGAGGAACACCGAUGGCGAAGGCAGCCCCCUGGGUCAAGAUUGACGCUCAUGCACGAAAGCGUGGGGAGCAAACAGG
RNAcentral lists this ribosomal RNA (255 nucleotides) under uncultured bacterium. Its description in RNAcentral is "partial 16S ribosomal RNA". It matches the Rfam family "Bacterial small subunit ribosomal RNA", at positions 524 to 776 of the family's 1533-position model. The record is from RNAcentral.